Molecule: ribosomal RNA, 795 nt
Filed under: Clostridioides difficile
Lineage: Bacteria; Bacillati; Bacillota; Clostridia; Peptostreptococcales; Peptostreptococcaceae
Description: partial 23S ribosomal RNA
Rfam family: Bacterial large subunit ribosomal RNA
Source: RNAcentral
CAUACGGGUUGAAGCAUGACCGUAAGGACAUGUGGACAGUAUGGGAGUGAGAAUGUUGGCAUGAGUAGCGAGAUGUGGGUGAGAAUCCCACAGGCCGUAAACCCAAGGUUUCCAGGGGAAGGUUCGUCCGCCCUGGGUUAGUCGGGACCUAAGCUGAGGCCGAAAGGCGUAGGUGAUGGACAACAGGUUGAUAUUCCUGUACUACCGAUAACCGUUUGAGAGAAGGGAUGACACAGUAGGAUAAGCUAAGCACACUGUUGGUUAUGUGUGCCCAAGCAUUGAGGCAGUCAAAGCAGGCAAAUCCGCUUUGAUAAUGCUGGGAUGUGAUGGGGAGCGAAAUUUAGUAGCGAAGUAGCUGAUUUCACACUGUCAAGAAAAGUCUCUAUCGAGGUUAAAGGUACCCGUACCGCAAACCGACACAGGUGGGUGAGGAGAGUAUCCUAAGGCCAGCGAGAGAACUGUUGUUAAGGAACUCGGCAAAAUGACCCCGUAACUUAGGGAUAAGGGGUGCCACCAUCCGGUGGCCGCAGAGAAUAGGCCCAAGCGACUGUUUACCAAAAACAUAGGUUUCUGCUAAGUCGCAAGACGAUGUAUAGGAGCUGACGCCUGCCCGGUGCUGGAAGGUUAAGGGGAUCUGUUAGAGCAAUCGAAGCAGUGAACUUAAGCCCCAGUAAACGGCGGCCGUAACUAUAACGGUCCUAAGGUAGCGAAAUUCCUUGUCGGGUAAGUUCCGACCCGCACGAAAGGCGUAACGAUUUGGGCACUGUCUCAACAACAGACUCGGUGAAAUUGUAA